UAGUUAUGCCAAAACUUCAAA
Molecule: non-coding RNA, 21 nt
Filed under: Caenorhabditis elegans
Lineage: Eukaryota; Metazoa; Nematoda; Chromadorea; Rhabditida; Rhabditidae
Source: RNAcentral